RNAcentral lists this long non-coding RNA (370 nucleotides) under Lathyrus oleraceus (garden pea). RNAcentral's name for it is "Pisum sativum (pea) long non-coding RNA (PSAT_LNC003875)". Lineage: Eukaryota; Viridiplantae; Streptophyta; Magnoliopsida; Fabales; Fabaceae. The record is from RNAcentral.
AGUGUGUUACUUGAGGACAUAUGACACUAUUUUAAAAGACACGACAUGUAGCCUCAUGAUGGUAGGCGUGACUACCAUUGAGGCCCCCUUCUCCGGUUAUAUCCCUCCUCUCUUUCUAUUAUAUCCUUACAUUGGGGACAUUGUUAGAUUUAAGUGUGGGGGGGACUUUUGACGCUUUCUUUAUUUUAUUUUUAUCUGCUUAGUUUAGUUUUUUAUUUGUUCUGUUUUUUAGUUUAGAUUUACUUAUUGUUUUAACUUUUGAUUUCGUUGUUAAUUUAGUUGCUAGUUUAGUGUAUCAAGUCAACCACAUGUGUUGUCGAUUCAUUUAUACGUGCGUUUCUGUUUUGUUGUUAAUUUUCCCAAAUUCUUG